UACGGGAGGCAGCAGUGGGGAAUUUUGGACAAUGGGCGAAAGCCUGAUCCAGCCAUCCCGCGUGCAGGAUGAAGGCCUUCGGGUUGUAAACUGCUUUUGUACGGAAAGAAAAGACUCUGGUUAAUACCUGGGGUCCAUGACGGUACCGUAAGAAUAAGCACCGGCUAACUACGUGCCAGCAGCCGCGGUAAUAUGUAGGGUGCAAGCGUUUAUCGGAAUUACUGGGCGUAAAGCGUGCGCAGGCGGUUAUAUAAGACAGAUGUGAAAUCCCCGGGCUCAACCUGGGAACUGCAUUUGUGACUGUAUAGCUAGAGUACGGCAGAGGGGGAUGGAAUUCCGCGUGUAGCAGUGAAAUGCGUAGAUAUGCGGAGGAACACCGAUGGCGAAGGCAAUCCCCUGGGCCUGUACUGACGCUCAUGCACGAAAGCGUGGGGAGCAAACACGGAUUAGAUACCCUGGUAGUCCACGCCCUAAACGAUGUCAACUGGUUGUUGGGUCUUCACUGACUCAGUAACGAAGCUAACGCGUGAAGUGCCCGCCUGGA
Molecule: ribosomal RNA, 544 nt
Filed under: uncultured beta proteobacterium
Lineage: Bacteria; Pseudomonadati; Pseudomonadota; Betaproteobacteria
Description: bacterial SSU rRNA
Rfam family: Bacterial small subunit ribosomal RNA
Source: RNAcentral